RNAcentral lists this signal recognition particle RNA (299 nucleotides) under Cavia aperea (Brazilian guinea pig). RNAcentral's name for it is "Metazoan signal recognition particle RNA (ENSCAPG00000005024.1)". It matches the Rfam family "Metazoan signal recognition particle RNA". Rfam says of the family: The signal recognition particle (SRP) is a universally conserved ribonucleoprotein. It is involved in the co-translational targeting of proteins to membranes. Lineage: Eukaryota; Metazoa; Chordata; Mammalia; Rodentia; Caviidae. The record is from RNAcentral.
GCCGGGCGUGGUGGCGCGCGCCUGUAGUCCCAGCUACUCGGGAGGCUGAGGUGGGAGGAUCGCUUGAGUCCAGGAGUUCUGGGCUGCAGUGCGCUAUGCCGAUCGGGUGUCCGCACUAAGUUCGGCAUCAAUAUGGUGACCUCCCGGGAGCGGGGGACCACCAGGUUGCCUAAGGAGGGGUGAACUGGCCCAGGUCGGAAACGGAGCAGGUCAAAACUCCCGUGCUGAUCAGUAGUGGGAUCGCGCCUGUGAAUAGCCACUGCACUCCAGCCUGGGCAACAGAGUGAGACCCUGUCUCU